RNAcentral lists this long non-coding RNA (226 nucleotides) under Dermacentor andersoni. Its description in RNAcentral is "uncharacterized LOC126530931". Lineage: Eukaryota; Metazoa; Arthropoda; Arachnida; Ixodida; Ixodidae. The record is from RNAcentral.
CAGCCAUUUGCCAGCGACGGCACAUUCUUCUACCGUGGUUGGUGUUUCUCACUGCUUUGAACCCCCAAGACUCCACGGACUGCGGCUGCGGUCGUUUCAUUGCCAACUGUGAGGAUGAAGCAGCUUCAUGGCCGGAGAUCGGGUGCCUCCCAUCAGUUUCCCUUUUCAGCAAUAGAGGCCUUGGAGGCCUUUCUACCUGCGUUGCAUCCUGUGGCUGGACCACUCC